This is an RNA transcript of Zea mays, 3622 nucleotides long. RefSeq lists it as uncharacterized. Lineage: Eukaryota; Viridiplantae; Streptophyta; Magnoliopsida; Poales; Poaceae. The transcript has 3 exons. The record is from RefSeq and is a predicted model, not a curated record.
CAUGGACGCCCCCGCCCCGAGACGUGCCCACCUAGAGAGCCGCUCGCUCACCUUGCUACCCGGCCCACACCCGUCUCGUUCUCCUCCUCAUCCCGGCGCUCCUACUACUCCCCUCCAUGGCGCGCAGGUACACCUCCUCGUUCCCCCACCUGCCUCCCUGUUCCACUUUUGUUGCCUCCUUACAGGCAAAAGCUCUGUGGGGUCCCUUUGCUACGUGGGGGACGAAUCAGCGAGGGCGCUUAGCGUCGGCGAGGAGCUCAUGGCCAAGAGACCAUGCCGUUGGGUGUACAGGAUCGACGGACUGCCCUAUCUGUGUGGUACGAAAUCAAGAUCUGUUGGGGGACAGGCUCUGUUGGUGUUCAAUUUGCUAUCUUGUUUUAGUUCUUGCUUGUUUCGAUAGCCAUAUUAAUUUUCGUACAGAUCUGGUAGGGUUUUGUUUCCCCUGCGAGGCGAUUUCCUUUUUCUCUGUUGUGGUUGGGGUUGGGUGGGGUUAGGUUUGGUUAAACAAUUCCCCUUUUGGAUUAGAGGGGACAGGGCAAUGAACUAAUUUGCCAACUCAAGCCCUUGCUGUACACAUGAUUUAAUCAUGGGUUACGGCACAUGUACCUUUUAGAUCGCUUGCAAAAGGUUGUUUAGCUAUCCUAUUAGACAUGUGUAGUUCUUUACUUAUUCGUCGGAUGAAGAUGAAGUAAUGGAGGAGAUUAGGUUGGGGCCAAAAGGCGGUCUCAUGUACUGCAUGGAGUAUCCUAUUAUUUUUGCAGUGUCUUUGUUCAUUCUAUAGGCUGCCAUAUAAGCCCAUUGUUUCCUUUGGCUUUUUCCAUACGUGAUUAGUCGUACCUGAUUUUGCCACCUAAUUUUUCAUUAUAUUUUUCUUUUUUGUUUUGUUGUCAUGUGAAUUGUCUCCAUUCAUGUUUGUGGUUCGCUUUAUUACUUAACUAUUUUCUGAGGUAUAUUUUUUUUUGUAAAAAACGGAUUAUCGAUCUGUCAUCCUUGUAUAACCAUCUGGUGUCUACAUAAGUUUGAUAUCUAACACCAAGGCCAGACAAUGAUUGUAUAACCAUCUGGUGUCCGUAUAAGCUUUGAAAAUGUCAUCCUUUUGCAAGCGAUCAAAUAUCUUCUAGCAUUAUUAUUCAGUUGGCAAGACUGGUCGCCAGAAGCUACUCAAGCAGAAAGGAUGUGUUGUUUGCAUCACGGGCCUUUAGUGCUUCAGGUAACCAAACCUUGCUUUCUCUCAAACUGGUUUGUUGUGUUAUAGAACAAAAGGAAGAAAAUUACAGAUUGUUACAGUAUUCCUGGAAGAAAUACUUCCAUUGCUGGACCAUGGGUUACUUAAUAAGUAGAAUUUCUGGGCUCCUAAUAAAGUACCAUAAUGUUCUGUUAGGACUAUGUUUUUAUGCAGCAUAAUCAGGUUAUGAAGCACGAAUUGUACAUCAGCUUUCAGGUGCCAAGUUCAGUUACCUUGAAUAUUUUAAGUAAUGGUAUGUUGAUUCCACUUUUAUUAGUUCUUUGAGUUCCAUUUCCAGCGCUGAUCUUGAUGCCUAAUCAACUAUUGAGAGCAGACAGCCAUGAGCCUGAGACAAAUGGAAAGUACAAAUUAUUGCAUGGAUUAUUAAUCAUCACAUGCCAUAGAUAAAAAUUCCUGUUGUUAUAGCCAUAACAUCGUAAGGUUAGUUGAUAAUUACGCACAUACGAGAAGUAAAAAAAUAGAAGUUUGACGUUAAUAGAAAUGGGGAUACUUCUCUUUUCAGAAAAAGAGCUUAAGAAGGUCAUCAGAAAGGGAAUCAACAACACGUGGUGGGCAACAAAAACAACUUCAAUGUCCUAAGAAAUCUAGAAAUUCUUUCUCUGAGUUUUUCUUUUCUGUUCUAGAGUCAAUAGCUGACUGUUUCUGUUAACUGAAAAUGUAUUUGUCACACAAUGCUUAUAUAAACCACUUGAUUAAGUUAUAUUAUGUUAGGACAUUUUGGCAGUCCACUAUUUAUAUCUGGUUUGAUGUUGUUAUAAAGUGAUCUCUGCUAUCUAAUCUAUUUUGGUGGUCGUAAAGUUUUGCUUGCUUGAAAUUUGAUCACAUUAGUUGAAUUUUGUCUAUAAUCACAUCAGAUGAGAAAUUAUACAGCCUUCUUGCUUAAAUGUACAGACCACUGUUUAAUUUUUUGAACUUUAUUUCCCACCGCGAGAAACUGAUUUAUUUCCACCGAGAGAAACUGGUUUAUUUCCAUCUUUUCUUCUUUUUAGAACCGGAGGCUAUCCUCUAGCUUGAUAAUCUCACCUGCAAGAUUCGUUUUUUUGGCUAAUCCAGUCUGGCGACCUAGGUCUCUUGGCUUGCCCGUAGCCCGCCGGUCAGUAAUGGCGCAGGAUGAUCCGGUUGUUUCUGCUCAGUGGAUGCACGAGCACCUAGUGAUGCCUGAUGUUAAGGUAAAAAAUCAUCUAGUUUGCGUGUUCAUAUUCACUUCAGAGACACUUCAAUAAUGCUUCCUUCAUCGAAGAAGAAAGUUCAGAGAUAUACUUCUAUCCCCUGCGUUAGUGGUAUGUGAGAAUAUAACAGUUUGGUUGUCUAUCAAUUUGAUCUUCCUUUUUAUGCGUUGUGUUCUUAUUACUCCCAGAAAUAAUUAGAGGGUUAGGGACAUAUGUGCUUUGUGGCAGUUAUCAGCUUGUUUUAGGUUUUGGAUGCUUCCUGGUACAUGCCGGUAGAGAACAGGGAAUCAUGGAAAGAAUAUCAGGUUUUCAGCAUCAGCUAUCUCAUCUUCCUUUUUGAGAUAAUUGUUGGAGCUAAAGUGUUCUGGUAUCCUCAGGUGGCACACAUCCCCGGCUAGGCAAAUAGUUGGUUCAGCUGUACUUGUGAAAGCUCGAGAUAGACCAGAAAUUGAGGAUGAUGAAUUCUAUUCACUUGACCUUUAUUGUCAAGGAUACAGGCAAGCUCGUAGGAACAGUUGGUCAGGGUUUCAAUUUCGGAGGUGGAGAUCUUCUACAGGUGAUAAUGGGCUCUUCUGAGGGUACUACUGUUGAUCCAGAUUCAGAAAAUCAAGAUUCAAUCUCAUCACGUGAGCAUGUGUGGACUCCAUUUGCUGAAGAUAUUGUACCUGAUGUUGAUAUGGGAAGCAGAGAAAUGCGGAUUACACCUCCGAAGGGGUUACUUGAGCUCAAUUCUCGUUCUGACAAGAGAUCGAAGAAAGAAAGGCAUGCGAUGGUUAGGUCUGCAUCAUCCUUUUCUAGCAUCCAUGCUCGCAUCUACAGCCAUGAUUUGCAUCUUAAAAGAAAUAAAGAAUGUGUCAGGUCCAUAGUACUGAAAUGUUGAUAGCAGCAGAUGUCCUGGCUGAAGAUUGUAGAUAUUAUCUUGCAUGUAUUAUAACAAAUGACUCCUCCCCUCACGAUGACUUUGCGGACAGAUGUCUCAAUUCUAGUGGUGGAGCUACGAACAACAAUCUGAUGUCCUGAUCGAGAGCGAUGGAGCUAAUAUUUGAACUUGUGUGUUUGAACUUGUGAACUAAAAAUGUGAACUAUGGAUGUGAACUUGUGUGAAUUUGUGAACUUAUUUAUUUGGACUUAUGUGAAUUUGUGAACUUAUAUAUUUGGACUUGUGUGAAUUUGUGAUAUGAACAUAUAUCAAUGUGUUUGAAAUCUA